This 75-nucleotide microRNA precursor is filed under the name Anas platyrhynchos (mallard). Its description in RNAcentral is "mir-1759 microRNA precursor family". It matches the Rfam family "mir-1759 microRNA precursor family". Lineage: Eukaryota; Metazoa; Chordata; Aves; Anseriformes; Anatidae. RNAcentral also lists the same sequence under 4 other names. The record is from Rfam by way of RNAcentral.
GCUGCUGUAGGGUGGGAGGAGAGAGGUGUUACCUUAUCAGCUGCCUUCUUUCCCAUCCUCUCUUUCUGCAACAGC